UAAAAGUUUUAACUUAGCUUUAAGAUUAAGUUUUAUUUUUUAUUAUAUGUAAAUUGUUUUUAAGAAAUAUAUGCAGUAAUUAAUUUUAAUUAUUAAGGAAACUUAGAAUUAGAAAAAAUAUUUAGUAUUAACAAAAUUUGUGCCAGCAGUUGCGGUUAUACAAAUAAUAUAAUUUAAUUUUAUUAAUAUUAAUUAAUUUAAUAAUAAAUUUAAAAUUAAAAUUUAUUAAGUGAAAUUUUAAAUUUUUAAUUAGAUUUUAUUUUUUGAAUGAAGUUAGAAAAUUUUAAUAAGAAACUAGGAUUAGAUACCCUAUUAUUUAAAAUAUAAAUAUUUUAUUAAAUUAAUAAUAGAUAUGUUCUUGAAAGUUAAAAGUUUUGGCGGUAUUUUAGUCUUUUCAGAGGAACCUGUUCUAUAAAUGAUAACCCACGAUUUUAUUAACUUUUUUUAUUGCUUGCAUAUCGUCGUAAUUAAAUAUUUUAUUAGAAUUAAUAAUAUUAAAGAUUUUAAAUUAAAAAAUUAAUCAGAUCAAGGUGUAGUUUAUAAAGAAGUAGAAAUGGGUUACAUUAAAUAAAUUUUUGAAUAAUAAAUUUUAUAUUUUUUUGAAUUUGGAUUUGAAAGUAAUUUUAAUUAAUUAAUUAAUUUGAUUUUAGCUCUAAAAUAUGUACAUAUUGCCCGUCGCUUUCAUUUAAAAUGAAAUAAGUCGUAACAAAGUAGGUUUAUUGGAAAAUGAAUCUAGAUUACA
Molecule: non-coding RNA, 742 nt
Filed under: Luperus sp. EMHAU-15070805
Lineage: Eukaryota; Metazoa; Arthropoda; Insecta; Coleoptera; Chrysomelidae
Source: RNAcentral